RNAcentral lists this transfer RNA (76 nucleotides) under Burkholderia cenocepacia. RNAcentral describes it as "tRNA-Ala". It matches the Rfam family "tRNA". Rfam says of the family: Transfer RNA (tRNA) molecules are approximately 80 nucleotides in length. The record is from RNAcentral. Lineage: Bacteria; Pseudomonadati; Pseudomonadota; Betaproteobacteria; Burkholderiales; Burkholderiaceae.
GGGGAAGUAGCUCAAUUGAUAGAGCACCGCACUCGCACUGCGGAGGUUGGGAGUUUGAGGCUCCUCUUCUCCACCA